Molecule: long non-coding RNA, 344 nt
Organism: Mustela erminea (ermine)
Lineage: Eukaryota; Metazoa; Chordata; Mammalia; Carnivora; Mustelidae
Exons: 5
Source: RefSeq, a predicted model, not a curated record
CAUCACCUAUUUUAGCCAUCUCCCCACCAAUCUCCUCUCUGCAUCACAGAUGAAAAGCUCUUGGAUACCUGACUUACCAUGGAGAGUCUGCCUGACUCAUCACACUGGACUAUGACUAGAUUCAUGAGACUGUACUGGCUAAUCACAGACAACACUUACCGAUGGCUGCUCCAGGCCAAGCCUUUUUCUAAGCCCUUUACAUCCAUUAAUGACUCAGUAUCACAUCCUCAUGAGGGAGAACAGCCCGGGAAGUGAAUGUUCUUUCUGCUGUCUUGAGUGCUAGUUCCUACAAGUGUCUGCAUGCUGACUCCUGGAAACCAAGAAUCACCUACUACUGGCCCAAA